CCUACGGGAGGCAGCAGUGGGGAAUAUUGGACAAUGGGCGAAAGCCUGAUCCAGCCAUGCCGCGUGUGUGAAGAAGGCCUUCGGGUUGUAAAGCACUUUCAGUGGGGAAGAAAGCCUUGGGGCUAAUACCCUCGAGGAAGGACAUCACCCACAGAAGAAGCACCGGCUAACUCCGUGCCAGCAGCCGCGGUAAUACGGAGGGUGCGAGCGUUAAUCGGAAUUACUGGGCGUAAAGCGCGCGUAGGCGGUCUGAUAAGCCGGUUGUGAAAGCCCCGGGCUCAACCUGGGAACGGCCUCCGGAACGGGCAGGCUAGAGUGCAGGAGAGGAAGGUAGAAUUCCCGGUGUAGCGGUGAAAUGCGUAGAGAUCGGGAGGAAUACCAGUGGCGAAGGCGGCCUUCUGGACUGACACUGACGCUGAGGUGCGAAAGCGUGGGUAGCAAACAGGACUAGAUACCCUGGUAGUC
RNAcentral lists this ribosomal RNA (465 nucleotides) under Vreelandella stevensii. Its description in RNAcentral is "partial 16S ribosomal RNA". It matches the Rfam family "Bacterial small subunit ribosomal RNA", at positions 338 to 795 of the family's 1533-position model. The record is from RNAcentral. Lineage: Bacteria; Pseudomonadati; Pseudomonadota; Gammaproteobacteria; Oceanospirillales; Halomonadaceae.